CCAUUCAUCUUGGACCAGUGUGAUAUUUUGUAUUAAACUCUUACACCGUUCAAUUUCUUCAAAACAAACUCUUAUGACCGAUAGUCUGACCUGACAACAUCAAAUUUGUACUGCUCAAAUCGUGUGUCUUUUUAUUAAACUCUCGGAAUUGUCAGUAAAAAAUCAUACCAGAAGAAUCAGAUCUAUUGCAAAACCUUCACCGUUAUAGAUUUAAAUUACAAAAGAGAGAUAGGAGUUCAAACAUUUCAACCUAAUACAAAAACAAUUUGGCAACCACUGAAAACUGAUUUGAAUAAACCAAGAAAUUGACGAAGAAAAAUACUAGUAGACAUCAAAAUGAACAUGUAUUCGUUAUUAAAAGCCAUUGCAGAUGUUUCGUGCUCGGGGUUGGCGUAUAUGUUGUGGGUCCGGGGAAAACAAAAAUUAAUUAAGAAAAUGUACGGAAGCCUAUUAUAAUAGUCCCAGCAUGUACCACUCCGGUAGUACCACACAAGAGUUCCUGGUCACGUCGCAAUGAACUUUUUCUCAACACGAUUAGACAACGGACGUAACGAACGGAAAAAUAGUUCCCUGAAAGACCGUACUAUUACAUCAUAUUGUUGUCAGUGGUUAACACGGGAAAACAAUGUAAAAGAGGGCUAAAAAGAUUCUAAAAAUU
Long non-coding RNA from Myzus persicae (green peach aphid), 658 nucleotides. RefSeq lists it as uncharacterized. Lineage: Eukaryota; Metazoa; Arthropoda; Insecta; Hemiptera; Aphididae. The record is from RefSeq and is a predicted model, not a curated record. The transcript is spliced from 3 exons.